This 253-nucleotide ribosomal RNA is filed under the name uncultured bacterium. RNAcentral's name for it is "partial 16S ribosomal RNA". It matches the Rfam family "Bacterial small subunit ribosomal RNA", at positions 524 to 776 of the family's 1533-position model. The record is from RNAcentral.
UACGUAGGGGGCGAGCGUUGUCCGGAAUCAUUGGGCGUAAAGGGCUCGUAGGCGGUUUGUCGCGUCGGGAGUGAAAACUCAGGGCUUAACCCUGAGCCUGCUUCCGAUACGGGCAGACUAGAGGUAUGCAGGGGAGAACGGAAUUCCUGGUGUAGCGGUGAAAUGCGCAGAUAUCAGGAGGAACACCGGUGGCGAAGGCGGUUCUCUGGGCAUUACCUGACGCUGAGGAGCGAAAGUGUGGGGAGCGAACAGG